GGCCCGUUAGCUCAGUUGGUUAGAGAGCGUCGUGCUAAUAACGCGAAGGUCGCGGGUUCGAUCCCCCUCACAUUGGCCA
Non-coding RNA from Trichonephila inaurata madagascariensis, 79 nucleotides. NCBI's taxonomy places the organism in Eukaryota, Metazoa, Arthropoda, Arachnida, Araneae, Nephilidae. The record is from the annotation of a GenBank genome assembly.